AUGGAAGAAAAUCUCAUGCACAAGCAACCUCAGAUCCAUGAAGGAAAAGAGGAUGUGAAGUCAAAAGGCCUUUUUGGGACAAAUGGCAAGAUUUCUUUUUUCAAGCGGUUAUCCACCACAGAGAUCAAGAAACCAGAGAAAAAGAAUGAUGCAAGACCUGUCCAGGAAAAGAAUCGUUCCGAAGAUCAGAAGGUUUUCCCGGCCAACGAGGAGAGCAGAGACCCGAAGGACAGCAGUAACACCAACGCCAUCCCCACACAGUCCCCACAGAGAGACCCACGGAAAGCACAGAGUCUCAGUGACGGAAGGUCCCGCUCCUCCACUUGUACUAUGCUGUGAUUACGUGGAGAGAUUACACUUUUCAGUGCUUUUCAGAAGUUGCAGUGUGCCUUAAACUAUUUUUAUGAGUUUUAUAAUCUGUUUUGUUUCCAAAACUAUAACCGUUGCACACAGCAAAAUUAAAAGUGCAUGUACUGUAUACAGAUCAUUUAGAGAUUGUACAAAGCAAGUGGCCAAGAAUACCAUUUUACUGGCAGUGGUAGGAAUACUUCACAAGUGCUUUAUGAUCCGGAGUCCAUGGGCAAACUGGCACAACUGACAGCUCUGUAAGAUUACACAGAAGUUGAAAACCUUGCACUACAAAGAAUGUAAAAUAUCUCAGAAAUAUCCAAAAUAUAAGGUAAAACAGGAUUGUUCAUAAGGGAUCAAGUUUCUUACAUUGUGCAAAAGGGCUUGACUUGGUGUAUUGUGGAUUUCCAAAGAAUUUCACUCAGUCACUUGAGUAUUUUGAGGAUUGUUGUACAUUCGUAUUCUUCUACAGCUCUCAACAAAUGCAGUAGAAUGUGUUCAUUCAGUCAUUUAAAAUUGCAGGUUCAAAGACCAGAAACAUCUGAAUUCACAUUGCACUCCUGGUGUUACCUCAGUUAUGUAUCUGUUUACUACAGUAUGUUUUUGAGUUGUUUCUUACACUUUCAGAAUUUUUUUUUUAUUAAUACAGAAUCAACAUACACCGUAUACAACAAUUCUCCCUGCCUGCAGGCCCAAAAUGUAUUCUGCUGUUGUACAACGCAUUUAGCUUGAUUCAAAAAUCCACAGCUGGUCCUCACAUUUUAAAAAUAUUUUGUUGUAUAUUUAGUAUACUGUAUGUAUGAGUGAUGGUUCCACAUACACUGUAUAGCUUUAUUCUAAAUGUUGUAAUAUGGCUCUUUUAGUAUUAACUUCAAGAUAUUUGUUCUAUAAUUUAUGAAACUGUAUAUAUUUCUUAUUUUAACAGAUGUAUUUAUUUAAGUUUAGAAUCUAAAAGCACAGAUUGCACUUUAAAUUGAACUACUGUACACUGUACAUUGUACUUGUUUCAGGGAAAUGUGUACGUUUUAAAGAUUGACUCAUCAGCAGGUAUACGUGCCUCCUGAAAGACUGCAUUUUCACUUUUUAUCGUACCUAAGGAUGAAAGGAUGCUUUUGUAUUUUACACUCAUCUGGUACAUGCCAUGUGAUUUCAGUAUAAACACAUUGUGCUCUCUGGUGUGUGAACAGGAUUUCUUCUUACAGUACAUUCAAACUGAAUCCUAUUAAUGUUAAAUAAAUCAGGUUAUC
Long non-coding RNA from Lepisosteus oculatus (spotted gar), 1595 nucleotides. Lineage: Eukaryota; Metazoa; Chordata; Actinopteri; Semionotiformes; Lepisosteidae. The record is from Ensembl.